This 47-nucleotide ribosomal RNA is filed under the name Yamadazyma spencermartinsiae. RNAcentral describes it as "[Candida] spencermartinsiae partial 5.8S ribosomal RNA". Lineage: Eukaryota; Fungi; Ascomycota; Pichiomycetes; Serinales; Debaryomycetaceae. The record is from RNAcentral.
UUGCGCCCUCUGGUAUUCCAUAGGGCAUGCCUGUUUGAGCGUCAUUU